Molecule: ribosomal RNA, 1419 nt
Filed under: Vibrio sp. PP05
Lineage: Bacteria; Pseudomonadati; Pseudomonadota; Gammaproteobacteria; Vibrionales; Vibrionaceae
Description: bacterial SSU rRNA
Rfam family: Bacterial small subunit ribosomal RNA
Source: RNAcentral
UGCAAGUCGAGCGGAAACGAGUUAUCUGAACCUUCGGGGAACGAUAACGGCGUCGAGCGGCGGACGGGUGAGUAAUGCCUAGGAAAUUGCCCUGAUGUGGGGGAUAACCAUUGGAAACGAUGGCUAAUACCGCAUGAUGCCUACGGGCCAAAGAGGGGGACCUUCGGGCCUCUCGCGUCAGGAUAUGCCUAGGUGGGAUUAGCUAGUUGGUGAGGUAAGGGCUCACCAAGGCGACGAUCCCUAGCUGGUCUGAGAGGAUGAUCAGCCACACUGGAACUGAGACACGGUCCAGACUCCUACGGGAGGCAGCAGUGGGGAAUAUUGCACAAUGGGCGCAAGCCUGAUGCAGCCAUGCCGCGUGUGUGAAGAAGGCCUUCGGGUUGUAAAGCACUUUCAGUCGUGAGGAAGGUAGUGUAGUUAAUAGCUGCAUUAUUUGACGUUAGCGACAGAAGAAGCACCGGCUAACUCCGUGCCAGCAGCCGCGGUAAUACGGAGGGUGCGAGCGUUAAUCGGAAUUACUGGGCGUAAAGCGCAUGCAGGUGGUUUGUUAAGUCAGAUGUGAAAGCCCGGGGCUCAACCUCGGAAUAGCAUUUGAAACUGGCAGACUAGAGUACUGUAGAGGGGGGUAGAAUUUCAGGUGUAGCGGUGAAAUGCGUAGAGAUCUGAAGGAAUACCGGUGGCGAAGGCGGCCCCCUGGACAGAUACUGACACUCAGAUGCGAAAGCGUGGGGAGCAAACAGGAUUAGAUACCCUGGUAGUCCACGCCGUAAACGAUGUCUACUUGGAGGUUGUGGCCUUGAGCCGUGGCUUUCGGAGCUAACGCGUUAAGUAGACCGCCUGGGGAGUACGGUCGCAAGAUUAAAACUCAAAUGAAUUGACGGGGGCCCGCACAAGCGGUGGAGCAUGUGGUUUAAUUCGAUGCAACGCGAAGAACCUUACCUACUCUUGACAUCCAGAGAACUUUCCAGAGAUGGAUUGGUGCCUUCGGGAACUCUGAGACAGGUGCUGCAUGGCUGUCGUCAGCUCGUGUUGUGAAAUGUUGGGUUAAGUCCCGCAACGAGCGCAACCCUUAUCCUUGUUUGCCAGCGAGUAAUGUCGGGAACUCCAGGGAGACUGCCGGUGAUAAACCGGAGGAAGGUGGGGACGACGUCAAGUCAUCAUGGCCCUUACGAGUAGGGCUACACACGUGCUACAAUGGCGCAUACAGAGGGCAGCCAACUUGCGAAAGUGAGCGAAUCCCAAAAAGUGCGUCGUAGUCCGGAUUGGAGUCUGCAACUCGACUCCAUGAAGUCGGAAUCGCUAGUAAUCGUGGAUCAGAAUGCCACGGUGAAUACGUUCCCGGGCCUUGUACACACCGCCCGUCACACCAUGGGAGUGGGCUGCAAAAGAAGUAGGUAGUUUAACCUUCGGGGGGACGCU